This 433-nucleotide long non-coding RNA is filed under the name Bos taurus (domestic cattle). RNAcentral's name for it is "long non-coding RNA NONBTAT023784". The record is from RNAcentral. Lineage: Eukaryota; Metazoa; Chordata; Mammalia; Artiodactyla; Bovidae.
CAACUUCUAACAACUUAAUGGGAGUAUUAAAAGGAUGGAAACAAAUAUUAGAACAUAAAGUUGUGUUCCUCUGAAUAUUAUGGAAUAUAGAAUAUUGUAACAAUUAUUAAAAUUAUUGCUUAUGAACCAUAAAAUAGUUACUUUUGAGUAUCUGAUGGUGUCUGAUGAGUUAUUUUUAUCUGAUUGGACAUAGGUCAUUUGAAUGUAUUUGAUGGGAGAAUUUGGAGUAUUUUAUGGGACACAGACCAUGGAUAUGGCUGAGCACUCCUCCACCCCCAACAAAUGGCAGCAUACCAUGCAAAAUGUUCCACAGCUUGCUCUCUUUUUCUUCACUUUAACAAAGACACCUAGAAGUGAAAUCGCUGGGGCAAGACUGUAUCUAGCAAAAUCACUCUAGACACUACUAUAUUAUCCCUACAAGCAUUAUAUCAAU